CCAUCUGCGCAUGAACAUGCCUCCAAUGUGCCAUGCGAAUCGAGCGCCAUUUUGUUCUCGAACGUGGUGGGAUGGUGUAGUGGUGAGUAUACGAGUGAUAUCUAUUGUUCCAAAUUUUAAGUUGAAAUUCAAAUAAAUUAAAAUUCUAAUGCUUUUUCCACUUAAAUGAAUAGUCUUUUUUUAAAUUUAAUUGUCUUUUUGAUUAAUUUUAAUCAUUAUUUUUUUUCUUGCACAGACCGCAAUUAUAGGCAUAAUUCGUUUUCUGCUGAAUGUAUAGGAUUUCAUGUCUGCAGAUAAUGUAUUACAAGAGGCUGUUGUGUGCCAGUGGACAAGCUGGUGAGAAGCUGAACACUAAUAGCUUGAAUCCUGGUGAAUGGACUGCCUGCAUAAGCGUCGUCAUGAUUUUUCCACGUGUAAUAUGAAUGCAAGCCAGUUUGCCUUAAAGCAUCCCUUCUUGGAAAAUAUCUUCUAAUGUUUCAUCACAAAAAUCAGCCAAAAACUGUUUCUCAUGAUUUGAAAAAUACGUAUAAAGGAAGUCAAAUUUAAUUGAUAAAUUGUGCAUGCUGAGAUUGUAUACUAUAUCAUAUACAUUUUUUUAAUAUAUUUUCUGUAUCUCUAAUGUUGAGAAUUUUGAUGUUUUAAUUUAACCCUGAAUAAAAUGUUAAGUACUAUAAGCAAA
This 679-nucleotide long non-coding RNA is filed under the name Stegodyphus dumicola. RNAcentral describes it as "uncharacterized LOC118193490, transcript variant X3". Lineage: Eukaryota; Metazoa; Arthropoda; Arachnida; Araneae; Eresidae. The record is from RNAcentral.